Molecule: transfer RNA, 71 nt
Filed under: Planktothricoides sp. SR001
Lineage: Bacteria; Bacillati; Cyanobacteriota; Cyanophyceae; Oscillatoriales; Oscillatoriaceae
Also listed under: 5 other names
Rfam family: tRNA
About the family: Transfer RNA (tRNA) molecules are approximately 80 nucleotides in length. Their secondary structure includes four short double-helical elements and three loops (D, anti-codon, and T loops). Further hydrogen bonds mediate the characteristic L-shaped molecular structure. tRNAs have two regions of fundamental functional importance: the anti-codon, which is responsible for specific mRNA codon recognition, and the 3' end, to which the tRNAs corresponding amino acid is attached (by aminoacyl-tRNA synthetases). tRNAs cope with the degeneracy of the genetic code in two manners: having more than one tRNA (with a specific anti-codon) for a particular amino acid; and 'wobble' base-pairing, i.e. permitting non-standard base-pairing at the 3rd anti-codon position.
Source: Rfam by way of RNAcentral
GCGGGCAUAGUUUAGUGGUAAAACUACAGCCUUCCAAGCUGUUAAUGCGGGUUCGAUUCCCGCUGCCCGCU